Osmia bicornis bicornis is the source of this 314-nucleotide long non-coding RNA. RefSeq lists it as uncharacterized. The record is from RefSeq and is a predicted model, not a curated record. The transcript is spliced from 3 exons. Lineage: Eukaryota; Metazoa; Arthropoda; Insecta; Hymenoptera; Megachilidae.
CAUGGCACCUUGGCAAGCCGGAAUUGGAGUCAAUGCCUUCUGCAGUUGUUUUUCUUGUUUCCUAUAUUUCGCCCUUCUGUUCUGAAACCAGACCUAUUAACAGAAGAAAAAAAGAUCGGCGUAUGUGCACGUAAGGGUCCUGGCGAACAUUCUCCCGAGCUUAUUUAUCGAGGAUGAUAAGGAUGAAGGGUAUCCAUCUCAGCCGAGGGGUUGCGCGGAUAAGAAAAAGAAAGUGCACCACCCACCUGAAUUCUGGCUUCGUUCAAUUUGGUGGACCGCGCCAAUUCCUCCCUGCAGUAUAUGUCCGGAUAAUG